This 66-nucleotide non-coding RNA is filed under the name uncultured Flavobacterium sp. RNAcentral describes it as "S15-Flavobacteria ribosomal protein leader". It matches the Rfam family "S15-Flavobacteria ribosomal protein leader". The record is from RNAcentral. Lineage: Bacteria; Pseudomonadati; Bacteroidota; Flavobacteriia; Flavobacteriales; Flavobacteriaceae.
UAUCUUUGCAGCUAAUCGGGAAAAACCUGAUUAUACAUAAUAAUUAUUUAAAAUAAUAUUGGCAUG